RNAcentral lists this ribosomal RNA (468 nucleotides) under uncultured bacterium. RNAcentral's name for it is "partial 16S ribosomal RNA". It matches the Rfam family "Bacterial small subunit ribosomal RNA", at positions 28 to 507 of the family's 1533-position model. The record is from RNAcentral.
GACGAACGCUGGCGGCGUGCUUAACACAUGCAAGUCGAACGGAAAGGCCCUGCUUUUGUGGGGUGCUCGAGUGGCGAACGGGUGAGUAACACGUGAGUAACCUGCCCUUGACUUUGGGAUAACUUCAGGAAACUGGGGCUAAUACCGGAAAGGAGCUCCUGCGGCAGGGGGGGGUUGGGAAAGUUUCGGCGGUUGGGGAUGGCUUCGCGGCUAAUCAGCUUGUUGGUGGGGUAGUGGCUUACCAAGGCUUUGCCGGGUAGCCGGCCUGGGAGGGUGACCGGCCACAUUGGGACUGCGAUACGGCCCAGACUCCUACGGGGGGCAGCAGUGGGGAAUAUUGCACAAUGGGCGGAAGCCUGAUGCAGCAACGCCGCGUGCGGGAUGACGGCCUUCGGGUUGUAAACCGCUUUCGCCUGUGACGAAGCGUGAGUGACGGUAAUGGGUAAAGAAGCACCGGCUAACUACGUG